AUACGUAGGGGGCGAGCGUUGUCCGGAAUCAUUGGGCGUAAAGCGUGCGCAGGCGGCUUCUUAAGUUGGGAGUGAAAGGCCGCGGCUUAACCGCGGAUGGGCUUUCAAAACUGGGGAGCUUGAGUGCAGGAGAGGGAAGCGGAACUCCAUGUGUAGCGGUGAAAUGCGUAGAGAUAUGGAGGAACACCGGUGGCGAAGGCGGCUUCCUGGCCUGUAACUGACGCUCAGGCACGAAAGCGUGGGGAGCAAACAGGAUUAGAUACCCUGGUAGUCCACGCCGUAAACGAUGAGUGCUAGGUGUUGGAGGCGUACGGCCUUCAGUGCCGCAGUUCACGCAAUAAGCACUCCGCCUGGGGAGUACGGCCGCAAGGCUGAA
Molecule: ribosomal RNA, 376 nt
Filed under: uncultured bacterium
Lineage: Bacteria
Description: bacterial SSU rRNA
Rfam family: Bacterial small subunit ribosomal RNA
Source: RNAcentral